UACAGAGGGUGCAAGCGUUAAUCGGAAUUACUGGGCGUAAAGCGCACGUAGGCGGCUUGGCAAGUUGGAUGUGAAUUCCCCGGGCUCAACCUGGGAAUUGCAUUCAAAACUGCCUAGCUCGAGUUUGGUAGAGGGAAGCGGAAUUCCAGGUGUAGCGGUGAAAUGCGUAGAUAUCUGGAGGAACACCGGUGGAGAAGGCGACAUCCUGGACCAAUACUGACGCUGAGUGAGCGAAAGCCAGGGGAGCAAACGGG
RNAcentral lists this ribosomal RNA (254 nucleotides) under uncultured bacterium. Its description in RNAcentral is "partial 16S ribosomal RNA". It matches the Rfam family "Bacterial small subunit ribosomal RNA", at positions 524 to 776 of the family's 1533-position model. The record is from RNAcentral.